RNAcentral lists this ribosomal RNA (490 nucleotides) under uncultured bacterium. RNAcentral describes it as "partial 16S ribosomal RNA". It matches the Rfam family "Bacterial small subunit ribosomal RNA", at positions 38 to 507 of the family's 1533-position model. The record is from RNAcentral.
GGGGGGGGGGGGGGGGGGGGGGGGGAGGGGGGGGGGGGGGGGCGGGAGGGGCUUGGCGUGCUGGGACUGAUGGCGGGCGGGGCACGGGGGCGUAGCGCGUAUGCCACGUGCCGCGCAGAGGGGGGUAACCCGUCGAGAGACGGACUAAUACCGCGUACACUGGGGACAUGGCACGCUGACCCACGGAAAUGAAAUUCGCUGUGAGCUAGGCAUGCGUCCCAUUAGCGAGGUGGUGAGGUAACGGCUCACCAAGGCGACGAUGGGUAGGGGAACUGAGAUGUUGAACCCCCACACUGGUACUGAGACACGGACCAGACUCCUACGGGAGGCAGCAGUGAGGAAGAUUGGUCAAUGGGCGAGAGCCUGAACCAGCCAAGUCGCGUGAAGGAUGACUGUCUUAUGGAUUGUAAACUUCUUGUAUACGGGAAUAACAAGAGCCACGUGUGGCUCCCUGCAUGUACCGUAUGAAUAAGCAUCGGCUAACUCCGUG